This 327-nucleotide long non-coding RNA is filed under the name Pan troglodytes (chimpanzee). Its description in RNAcentral is "long non-coding RNA NONPTRT003254". The record is from RNAcentral. Lineage: Eukaryota; Metazoa; Chordata; Mammalia; Primates; Hominidae.
UCCGUAAAUGCGCAUUCCUUUCCUCGCUCCCUGUUGCCCAGCUUGUAAGAUCCCAGUGGCUCACUGUGGAUGUAUUGGUCCUUAAUUCCCAAUAGCCUCGCCCUAUCUGGUGAUGAAAAUAAAAUCUGGAGGCAAAUUUGCUUUGAGAGCUGACUUUGACGUCAUAUAUAUGCUAAAGGAUCAGCACGUGUUAGAAAAGGAACAGGCGGAGAGUUAGAUGGCCUGGUUUUGAGUUUUGUCUUCGCCAUUCACCAAUUAGGUGACCUUGGGCAAGCCAUUCAGUCAGUUCCUCUGAGCCUCAGUUUCUUCAUCUAGAAGAUGUCCUAC